RNAcentral lists this unclassified non-coding RNA (89 nucleotides) under Pseudomonas frederiksbergensis. The record is from RNAcentral. Lineage: Bacteria; Pseudomonadati; Pseudomonadota; Gammaproteobacteria; Pseudomonadales; Pseudomonadaceae.
UGUGGGAGUGAGCCUGCUCGCGAUAGCGAUAGGUCAGUCAACGUUGAAGUGACUGAUCCACCGCUAUCGCGAGCAGGCUCACUCCCACA